RNAcentral lists this ribosomal RNA (490 nucleotides) under uncultured bacterium. Its description in RNAcentral is "partial 16S ribosomal RNA". It matches the Rfam family "Bacterial small subunit ribosomal RNA", at positions 30 to 507 of the family's 1533-position model. The record is from RNAcentral.
AUUGAACGCUGGCGGCAGGCCUAACACAUGCAAGUCGAACGGUAACAGGAAGCAGCUUGCUGCUUUGCUGACGAGUGGCGGACGGGUGAGUAAUGUCUGGGAAACUGCCUGAUGGAGGGGGAUAACUACUGGAAACGGUAGCUAAUACCGCAUAACGUCGCAAGACCAAAGAGGGGGACCUUCGGGCCUCUUGCCAUCGGAUGUGCCCAGAUGGGAUUAGCUAGUAGGUGGGGUAACGGCUCACCUAGGCGACAAUCCCUAGCUGGUCUGAGAGGAUGACCAGCCACACUGGAACUGAGACACGGUCCAGACUCCUACGGGAGGCAGCAGUGGGGAAUAUUGCACAAUGGGCGCAAGCCUGAUGCAGCCAUGCCGCGUGUAUGAAGAAGGCCUUCGGGUUGUAAAGUACUUUCAGCGGGGAGGAAGGGAGUAAAGUUAAUACCUUUGCUCAUUGACGUUACCCGCAGAAGAAGCACCGGCUAACUCCGUG